UUGCUCUCAGCUGAACUUCAUUUGCUUCGGAAAAGAAGCAACGUGAGGUUUUGUUUUUUUUUUCAGGCUUACUACUUGUAAGGUGAACCUGGGAUUCUUUUAAGGGCAAACGAAAGUCAAGAAAUUAAAUAGGAAUAUGAAUCUCCAGAAUUUCUAUUAGCAAUGAUGAGAUUCAGUUUUUUGCUUGCAUCCCUCAUGUGAUCAUCUGCAUGAAAAAGGGUGGGAUGCUGGAUGGUGACAAAGUGGUCCCAAAUCUCAAGGCUUUUUCCACCAAUUGAUCAAGCUGAACUCAAGUGGAGAACUGCUAUUUGGAGUUCUAUUUCUUGGGUGACCAUGAGUGAGAGGUGGUGCAAUGCAUAA
RNAcentral lists this long non-coding RNA (360 nucleotides) under Coturnix japonica (Japanese quail). RNAcentral's name for it is "lncRNA (ENSCJPG00005000939.1)". The record is from RNAcentral. Lineage: Eukaryota; Metazoa; Chordata; Aves; Galliformes; Phasianidae.